Molecule: long non-coding RNA, 417 nt
Filed under: Rattus norvegicus (Norway rat)
Lineage: Eukaryota; Metazoa; Chordata; Mammalia; Rodentia; Muridae
Description: long non-coding RNA NONRATT020701
Source: RNAcentral
CUUCUGUGGCUGUGGGCAUGGAAUCCUUGCACAGAAUCCGGAUUCCUUGAGACUCGACACCAUAGAUGGAAGAACCACUUCAGCUGUCAAGACUGAAAGGCUCUCAAGCACGGUGGCCAGAGGCAUGGAGAUAAUGGUGGCAUCUGCUUUUCUUCCUGAGAACUGCAGAGCAGACAGGCCCUCCUGGGAAAAGCCUGAGAGGGAGCAGACACUUUUCUGGCUGGAAGCAAAGCUCUCUGAUGGUUCUGGUGAGUCUUCCUCCUUGCACCUGGCCACUUGGGUUUCCCCUAACUCUACCUGUAGGUCUCUUAAAACCUGAGCAUCCCCUUCGAACCUUACAGCUGGAGAAUCACAGAAACCUCUGGCUGGAUCCAAUAGCUACUGGUGUUUUACAAAUCCACACUGCAAUCUACAGCC